UACGAAGGGGGCUAGCGUUGUUCGGAAUUACUGGGCGUAAAGCGCGCGCAGGCGGCUAUCCAAGUCAGUGGUGAAAGCCCGGAGCUCAACUCCGGAACUGCCAUUGAAACUGUUUAGCUUGAGGAUGAGAGAGGUGAGUGGAAUUCCCAGUGUAGAGGUGAAAUUCGUAGAUAUCAGGAGGAACACCGGUGGCGAAGGCGUCCAUCUGGCCCGAUACUGACGCUGAGGCGCGAAAGCUAGGGGAGCGAACGGG
RNAcentral lists this ribosomal RNA (253 nucleotides) under uncultured bacterium. RNAcentral's name for it is "partial 16S ribosomal RNA". It matches the Rfam family "Bacterial small subunit ribosomal RNA", at positions 524 to 776 of the family's 1533-position model. The record is from RNAcentral.